This 273-nucleotide ribosomal RNA is filed under the name Klebsiella pneumoniae. RNAcentral describes it as "partial 16S ribosomal RNA". It matches the Rfam family "Bacterial small subunit ribosomal RNA", at positions 327 to 592 of the family's 1533-position model. Lineage: Bacteria; Pseudomonadati; Pseudomonadota; Gammaproteobacteria; Enterobacterales; Enterobacteriaceae. The record is from RNAcentral.
CGGUCCAGACUCCUACGGGAGGCAGCAGUGGGGAAUAUUGCACAAUGGGCGCAAGCCUGAUGCAGCCAUGCCGCGUGUGUGAAGAAGGCCUUCGGGUUGUAAAGCACUUUCAGCGGGGAGGAAGGCGGUAAGGUUAAUAACCUCAUCGAUUGACGUUACCCGCAGAAGAAGCACCGGCUAACUCCGUGCCAGCAGCCGCGGUAAUACGGAGGGUGCAAGCGUUAAUCGGAAUUACUGGGCGUAAAGCGCACGCAGGCGGUCUGUCAAGUCGGA